Megalopta genalis is the source of this 2134-nucleotide non-coding RNA. The record is from RefSeq and is a predicted model, not a curated record. NCBI's taxonomy places the organism in Eukaryota, Metazoa, Arthropoda, Insecta, Hymenoptera, Halictidae.
UAAUACUAAUCAUUAUUAAUAUGAUUAAUAUGAUAAUGAACAUAAUUAACAUCCUUUUAAUUAUUAUAGAUGAAUGAUACAUUAGAUCCCAUUAAUCCAUCUUAUGAUCUAAAUCUACAAGAUGAAGUAUCACAUUUAUUUGGAAGAGAUGUAUCUGGGCAUAUGGACGUAAACCAUAUACUUCAGAAGACAAAAAAGAAUUUGAUGUCUUUUUAGUUCAGGGAAAUCAUUUACUUUAUAGGGGAGUAUUAUGUCUCCUGGUAUCAUACUGAGGUGCUUAGAAUUGAUUUUCUCAAAUAUUACUUCAAAAUCGUCUCCCUCUUACAAAUCAGUUAAUCACUGUAAUGUUGUUAAUUUGGGUUCUCUCAAACAUGCUCAAGUUGCUUGAAACGUUGCUUCGUUGGAUAAACAUCACUAUAUCAAUGCUUACACGGAAAUGCAAAAGCAAUUGCAAAUGGAGUCACCAAUUAGACCGAGUCAAUGCAUUGACGUGCAUUACUCAGUUUGAGUGUCUCUUUUGCAGAGUAAUAUAACCUCAUUUUCAUCGAAAAUUCUGGGUUUUUACAAAAGCUCGUUUUUAUUCGAAAACUGAGAGAGAUUUUCUGAUUUUUAAUCAAGAAUUUCAUAGUGACUAUAGAAAAUCAGAAAUCGUUUCCGACAGUGCUAUGGGUAGCUAAAAAUACUAUUUUUUAAUUAUUUUUAGUGAAAAUUUCAUUUCAAUAUCUCUAAUGGCUCAAAACUUAUAACAAUUUGUCAAUACAUUUUUCAAAUCGUCGCAGAGGUGCGAGAUAUUCGAGGCACGGGCCACGAAAUUUGCAAUAACGUUCUGCGCAGGAUGGGGGUGGUGUUGGGAUUUCGCGUGGGCGUGAAAGUCUAGCGCGAAGUGCGAACCCCAGAACGGAGGGGCGUAAAAGCCGAUGUUACGUCUUUUCCGUGCAAACCACCGGAUAAUGAACAUCUCAGACAGUUUAAGAAAAUUACAAAGCAACGAUGUUUGACAGAAAAAAAACCCAACGGUUUUGAACAUGGAGCAGCAGGUUCUCCGAAAGUUGGAAUGCGGCAUAAACGUGGAAGCGCUUGCUAAUACGUACGGGAUCGCUAAAAGUACGGCGAACCGAAUAAGGCGCAUUGGCAUGAAUAGCUUGGACACCUGUGUAGACGUGCAUAAAAACAAAUAAUAUAUUGUGAAUAAUGGUGUAAAUAACAAAAUUUAUGAUUGGUUUUUGCAGACGAGACUUUUAGGAGUUCCCAUUUCUGACAAAAUCCUGUAGGAGCAGGCCAAAAAGAUAGGGACCAGAUCAGGCGUACCGUUUCACACAAGUCGCGGAUGGUUGUGGAGGUUUAAGCUGCGUUAUAACAUCCGCGCAGUGACGGCGUGGGGAAAAGGUUGGUUUUCAAGAGACCCUCGGGUCAAGGAGACCCGAAGAGAGACCCGAAUACCUGAUAAAAGAAAAUCCAAUAAAAAUACAGGACGCAUUAAGCCUCCUAGAAUUUUUCCUCUAACUUUCUUCAGGACUCAUCACCAUCUCUACUGAUAGCAAUGGUUGAACUAUUUAUUUUAACAAUAAUUAAUCGUAUUUUACUCUUACAUACAUACGUAAGGAGAAAAUAAUUAGGCCUGGUCUGUAUCUGUGUCAUAACAAAGCGACAUGGCAAGUGACCGCUUUACAGAUGUAACCACUCCAUUGGUACUGCAGAUCUCUCAUACUGCUAUUGUUUUUACGAGGGGAUCUUUACACUCAUUACUAAUGGAAACCAAGAAUGGAAAUAGUAAAUAAUAUAUUAAGAAAUUGCCAUCGAAUAAAUAUCUUUUGUAUGUUACAGAUACCAGCAUGGGUUUCAAAAGUCCUUCCUCUCAAAACUGCACUUUCCAGAGUAUACUUUAAGCAUCGGUGAAACUCGGACAACGCCUUCUUCUAAAUAAGAAGGCGGUAAACGAGGUUCUGACAUAAUGAUAACGGCUCUUUUCAGGGUCUCAAAUUCAUGCAAGCAGAUCAGUUCGUCCUUAUUAAUUCCAGAAGUGAGAAUGUCGAUGCAAUAACAAAAUAUCAUUCUUUUUGUUACACAGACCAGCAAACAUUUUAUUGUAUUUCUAGUUUCGUUCAAAGUUUCGAUAAUUGCGAAAUUAUCUGUU